CGCGGAGCGCACGCACUGGCGCCCUCCGGUACUUCUUCGCCUCCUCCUCCCACAAGUCUCAAGUUCCGAGCGAGCCGUGGCGGGCCGCCGCCUCGGAGCCCCAGGCCGGCCGGGUUUCGCCCCCUGUCCCCCCCGAUCCCCGCAGCACCUUCCCCCCAGGACGCGCUUCUCCGGGGGCGCUGCGGGGCUGCGGGGCUGCGGGCCGGGCCGGGGGGCGCGCUCCUGCGCCCGGGAUGAAAGCGGGGCUCCGCUCCCCGCCGCUGCUCCGCCGCCACUGUGGCCGCCGCUUCAUUGCACAUUCAAGUGGAAAAUUUUCAGGAGUCAGCAGAAAACAUUGUGUCCAAAAAAAAAAAAAAAAAAAAAAAAAAACUUGAGUCGUACUUACCACUAAAUCCUGGAGGAGACUCUCCCCUGGAAAACUUCCCCUUCGACUGAAGAAUCCUGACCAGGGCCAAGUGCUGGGAUCUUUCAGAAGUGCUGCAGGACAGGCAACUAGGGCCCCACUCUGUGGAUAAACCCAGGCUUUACAGCUUGUCCUGUAGGGUUCAGUGACUGGAACUUCAAAGUGCUAAUGUCCUACUCUGAACUCUGCACGAAAAGUAAAUUGUAAACUUACUCCCCUUUGACAAACCCAGGCUCUGCUGCCUGGCUACUUAGGGCCUGAGCAGGGUGGGAGUAAUCUUGCAGAUUGCUGUGGGUUGCUUUGAAAAAUGUUAUCUGUGAAAGCCACAGAUUCUCCUGUGGUAUUUAAAUUAGAUCCCAAAUCUGGUUUAAACAAUCCAGCGCUAUCUUUUAUUCUUUCAUAUUCACAAAGGUGAUAAAAAUCAGGUAAUUCAAGGCUGUCCUAAGUCCUCUCCAUUUCAGGGUUGGGCUUUUUGACAAAUAUCUAGUUUAGACACUAUUGUUUCACAGUUUACUUUAUACUUCCUGAAAUCGGGGGAUUUCAAGGUCUUUCUUUUUUUUUUUCUGGGAUAGUUUUUGAAAAUGCUAGACUAUUUGCAUCUAAAUAUCUGAGGUUGUGUGUGUGUUUAUAUUAAAACUGAAUUAUUGAGAA
Long non-coding RNA from Erinaceus europaeus (western European hedgehog), 1054 nucleotides. RefSeq lists it as uncharacterized. The transcript has 2 exons. The record is from RefSeq and is a predicted model, not a curated record. Lineage: Eukaryota; Metazoa; Chordata; Mammalia; Eulipotyphla; Erinaceidae.